CGCCCGGCCGUGGCCGUGGCCGUGGCCGUGCCGGGGCUGGUGAAGAGGCGCUCCUCCCGCAGCCCUUUCCCCGGGGCGGCAGGCCCGUGGGUCCCGCUGCUCCUGGCUCCAGGACUGGGUGAGGAGGGACGCUGGACGUGCUGAAGGAUUAUGAUAUUUCUGUUGCUGCCUUAGCUGUCCUGUACCAUGCCUAGCAAUGACAACUGAGUCAUAUUCUGCUGAGCAGGCUGCUCCAUACUUAGCCAUCAGACCUGCAUUCUCCAGCAGAUUCAUCAGGCUGACAAUGUAGUGAUGGAGCUGUUUGGUACCCGUAGAGUCCCACUCCAAGGGUUUCUGAGCACCUUGUGUUUAGCUCAGAAAAUCUGUCCUUGCAGCAGCCCUCUGAAGGGGUUGUGAAACCCCGGGGACUCCCAGGGCAGUUCACCAGUUGAAAAAUAUUUUGGAUUGGGUUCUUGUAUCAUCUGAAGUGAACGGCUAAUCCUGGCGCCAGGAUACAGAUACCUACUCGAGAGUGUGGCGCUCUAUUUUUGGCAGAUAAAGGUAAAACAUGUUCCAGUGGGUGGUGGCAGUUGGACCCUGUAUCAAGGCACACAUUUUUAAGCAAAGAAUGGUGCUUUCUCGCCGCUUCAUUCCCUGGCAGAGUAGCUGUACGGUUUAGCUGCUGUUCUCUGGUAUGGCCUUGCCAAUGUCGGCUGGGCUCAUGUGGCCAUCUCCUGCCUGCUGCACUGGCAGUGGUUGCGGGCUGAGUCACCUGUUUCUGGUGGACACGAGUUGUGCUCAGUGCAAGACAUAGCAACUGAAAGUCUCUGGCCUGCCUUACAGGAGGUCUGACAAAGUGACCAUAAUAACCCUUUCUGCCCUGGAAAUCUCUGAAUUCCUGGUAGGCCAAGAAAUGACUCUGUACUUACAUAGCUCAGUGUUGCUAAACCUCUCUUGUUUUGAGGCUUGCAAAACAAAUAGAUACCCCAGAGAAGAUGGUACUAAUCACUGCUGUAAUGACAUAUUCAACUCCUGUUUUUAUGGUUGCUGCAAAGCCUAUUUUGGGGAGACUUUUUUUAAGCUCUUUGGGGAAGAACAGACAAGC
Molecule: long non-coding RNA, 1084 nt
Organism: Haliaeetus leucocephalus (bald eagle)
Lineage: Eukaryota; Metazoa; Chordata; Aves; Accipitriformes; Accipitridae
Exons: 4
Source: RefSeq, a predicted model, not a curated record